This is a long non-coding RNA of Mobula hypostoma (lesser devil ray), 458 nucleotides long. RefSeq lists it as uncharacterized. The record is from RefSeq and is a predicted model, not a curated record. The transcript has 3 exons. Lineage: Eukaryota; Metazoa; Chordata; Chondrichthyes; Myliobatiformes; Myliobatidae.
AGCAAUCUUAAAUAUAGCACUGGAACAAGUAAGAGGCAUCGAGUGGGAAUAAAAGGAUCCGUGUCUGGUUGGCUGCCAGUAACUGGUGGUGUUUCGCAGAGGAUGUGGGCAUCACCAACUAAGCCAGCAUUAGAAGGUGCAUUAGCGUUGAGAAGGUGGUGCUGCAGUCCCUGAAGUGUAGGGAGGGAAUUCCAUAACUUUGACCCAGCAACAAUGAAGGAAUGGCGAACAACAGGAAUUCUGCAGAUGCUGGAAAUUCAAGCAACAUACAUCAAAGUUGCUGGUGAACACAGCAGGCCAAGCAGCAUCUAUAGGAAGAGGCGCAGUCGACGUUUCAGGCCGAGACCCUUCGUCAGGACUAACUGAAGGAAGAAGAGAUACUGCACGCAACAGCCCCUUCCGGCCCAACGAGCUGCACCACGCUACAACCCAUCUAGUUAACACUAGCCUAAUCACAG